Molecule: ribosomal RNA, 974 nt
Filed under: uncultured bacterium
Lineage: Bacteria
Description: bacterial SSU rRNA
Rfam family: Bacterial small subunit ribosomal RNA
Source: RNAcentral
UGCAGUCGAGCGAAGCUUUUCAGUAGUUUACUACAGAAAAUGACUGAGCGGCGAACGGGUGAGUAACGCGUGAGCAACCUACCUUAGUUACUGGGAUAGCCCGAGGAAACUCGGAUUAAUACCGGAUAUUCUUACUUAAUCACAUGAUUUUUUAAGGAAAGGUCAGCCGAACUAAGAUGGGCUCGCGUUCUAUCAGCUAGUUGGUAGGGUAAUGGCCUACCAAGGCUACGACGGAUAGCUGGUCUGAGAGGACGAUCAGCCACACUGGGACUGAGACACGGCCCAGACUCCUACGGGAGGCUGCAGCAGGGAAUAUUGCGCAAUGAGCGAAAGCUUGACGCGGCGACACCGCGUGUGGGAUGACGGAUCUAGGUUUGUAAACCACUUUCAGGAGGGAAGAAAAUGACGGUACCUCCACAAGAAGCCCCGGCCAACUACGUGCCAGCAGCCGCGGUAAUACGUAGGGGGCGAGCGUUGUCCGGAUUUAUUGGGCGUAAAGAGCUCGUAGGCGGUUCAACAAGUCGGUCGUGAAAGUUCAGGGCUCAACCCUGAAAUGUCGAUCGAUACUGUUGUGACUAGGAUACGGUAGAGGUGAGUGGAAUUCCGAGUGUAGCGGUGAAAUGCGUAGAUAUUCGGAGGAACACCAAUUGCGAAGGCAGCUCACUGGGCCGCUAUCGACGCUGAGGAGCGAAAGCUAGGGGAGCAAACAGGAUUAGAUACCCUGGUAGUCCUAGCUGUAAACGAUGGAUACUAGACGUAGGAAUUGGAUUAACGAUUUCUGUGUCGUAGCUAACGCGUUAAGUAUCCCGCCUGGGGGAGUACGGUCGCAAGACUAAAACUCAAAGGAAUUGACGGGACCCCGCACAAGCGGCGGAGCAUGCGGCUUAAUUCGAUGAUACCCGUAGAACCUUACCUGACUUGACAUAUAGGGAAAAGUUAUAGAAAUAUAAUGUGCAUUAGCGCCCUAUACAGGU